This is a long non-coding RNA of Xiphias gladius (swordfish), 2503 nucleotides long. RefSeq lists it as uncharacterized. The transcript has 4 exons. NCBI's taxonomy places the organism in Eukaryota, Metazoa, Chordata, Actinopteri, Istiophoriformes, Xiphiidae. The record is from RefSeq and is a predicted model, not a curated record.
AACACGCUUCCCAACUGUUGCUCCGAUGGUCACGCCCAAGCCAACGCCGUUUGCCGCCGCAGCCCACCUACAGCGCCUGUGCUUCGACUUGAUGAAGGGGUGAAUGUGUGCGGGUGUCUUCUGCUGCCUGCUCAGCCUUCGGCUCAUGACACCAGCUGGACAGAACCCAGGUUAUCCCGUGUUUGCCGUCGGACCACGUCCACUCCGUCAGGGUCGUGUUCACCAAAUUUCAACAUCCCAUAAUACCGGGGGCUAAGGUUUUUACUGGAAGUGAGAGAUGAUGACUGCAGAUCCCCCAGUAUUUGGUCCAAUAUUACUGUCUGGUCAUUGAUAAAGUCCUGUAGAGGUUUGAGAAACACAUGGAUGUGGUUUUAACUGAUGAUCCUCCAGAGUUUCUUUGACACUCAAAUUUGAAAUGGCUGUGGGAAUGACACAGGGAACAACAAUGGUGAGGCAGGUUAUCUUGAAUAUUCUGGACGAUUUGGGAGAAGACGAAUUUAAAUGCUUCAAAUUAUAUCUGUGGGACCAUGGCAUCCUCAAAGAAAAAAAAACCCAUCCCAAAUGUACAUCUGGAGGUGGCAUACAGGUUGAAAACUGUGAAUCUGAUGUUGCAGGCCUAUAAACCUGCUGAAGUUCUGCAGUUGACAACAGAGUUUUUAAUAAAUAUCAACAGGAAUGAUCUUUUGCAGAUCUGCAGCUCAUCACCAAAAGGUCAGUAACAGGAUGCAGUAUAUUAAAAAUGGAUAUAGUGCAAGCUAUUUUGGUUUGACUUAUGCUUUUUUACUCUGCCCUGCACCAAAACAGCAGAUCUAAGAAGAGAAACAGACUGCUGUUUGAAUUUGUAGAAUUGUUGUAUUUGUAUUUAUAAAUGAUGGACACAACAGGAAACACGUCUUCAGCCAUGUUAGCAGCUUUGUGAAGCUGUACUUAGGUACAACAGUGCUUUGACCUUAUGGUGACAUAAGCAUGGCAACAUGUUCACAAUGACAAUGUUAGCAUGAUGAUGUUCAGAACAUAAUGUUCCCCUUCUGAGUUUAGCGAGUUAACAUGCUAACAUUUGCUUGUCACCGAUGUCAAGAGGCAUGUUUUAAAUCUGUUUGUUCAAGGACAUUACGUCUCCACAUUGUGGGAUGUGAAAUGGGGAAAAACAGAGAUAAAUAAACUGAAGUAAGUUAUGAAACCUAGAAUUACAGGCAUUUGGAGCCUGUCAAGUUCAUGGAAACAAAAUAUGCAAAGCAGUUACAGCAGUUAAAUUAUUGUUAUUAUUAUUAGAAAAUCCUGAUGUUUUCUUCAGCUUAAAUAGAAGAAGCAGUGUAGUAUUUUUGUUUUAAGGGACAUAAUGUAUCCUCAGUCUGCCUGUAUCUGUGGAGCAGUGCUUGAGUUAAGUCUGUGCCAUAAAAUAUUGAUGAAAAUCACGAACAAAGGUUACACUAAAAAAAACCUGAUUAAAGUAAUAAUGAUAACCAAAAUGCAUACGCUCAAAUUGACAAACUAUCAAAAUGUAAUAAUAGCAUUUGCUUUUUGAUAAAAGGUUAUGUGUAUUGUCAUUACUUGAUAUGUUCGUGUGUGUUUGUAUGAUAGCUAUUGUUAACAUACAUGUUGUCUCCCAUAGACAUCGACUGUGACACAAAUACAGAGAUAAAUCAUGAAAAAUGUUAAAUAUAUGAAAUAGAAGCACCAUGUAUAGAUACAUACACACACAUACACACACACUCAGAGAGAGAGAGAUAUGAGUGAUGCACAUGUUUUAUGUGUAUAAUUUAGUAUUGAAUUAACUACAGUUCUCAAAAGGCAAGUGAGAAUGAGUGAAACUUAGACCAACUUACACAUUUAACAUGUGCAUCUGUGAUUCUGCAAUUUUAAACACACUGUGUUGAACUUGUGCUGACAUGCAAGCAAUCAACUUGUGAAUCAGAGAGCUCUGUAUUACGUGUGGAGGAUACAGAACAACCAGAAACUUUGAUAUGCUCACAGUGUGCACAUUGGUUGUGUUUACUGUGGCUGGUUGACAUGUACACCAAAGUGAAGCAGACCAACCCAAAUUAAACCUGGUACAUUGUGAUUAAUAAGUAUCAUGUGCCUCGUAAUCACUAGACCGCCAGGAUGACCUUAAAAGGUACUGAAGGGUCUUUUUGCAUUGUUGGAGGGGUCACUGCUAAGAAAAAUUAUGAAACAAGACUAGCAUAUCAUGAGCUCUGAUCCAUGACUUAAACUAAAUUUAAAUACCAAAAAGUAGUGUCCUUCUAUCCUGAGUGACAUGCUUAUAAAGUUGGAUCUUAUCCCCCGAAAAGAACAAGUUUUCCUCUGCCCCUGCCUAGUGAAUAAUACAAUGUAUAGUGUAAUGUAUUAUACAAUGUAUAAUAUACUGCUGUGCAGUACACUAUAAUAAAAUAACAAUAAAUUCAUAAAUUAUUAAACUGUUCAAAGAAGACAGUAGAUCAAUAUGUAUAAUAUGCAUGUGUGUAUUACUGUAUAUAUGUAUUUUAUAAAUGUAAUAGCAAUA